CACGUAGUUAGCCGGCGCUUUUUCUGCAAGUACCGUCACUUUCGCUUCUUCCCUACUGAAAGAGGUUUACAACCCGAAGGCCGUCAUCCCUCACGCGGCGUCGCUGCAUCAGGCUUGCGCCCAUUGUGCAAUAUUCCCCA
Molecule: ribosomal RNA, 140 nt
Filed under: uncultured bacterium
Lineage: Bacteria
Description: partial 16S ribosomal RNA
Source: RNAcentral